Molecule: small nucleolar RNA, 138 nt
Organism: Tachyglossus aculeatus (Australian echidna)
Lineage: Eukaryota; Metazoa; Chordata; Mammalia; Monotremata; Tachyglossidae
Source: RefSeq, a predicted model, not a curated record
ACCUUCUCAGGAUCAUACCUGGAGAGUUUCCAGUACUUUACCAUUUUCAGCUAUAGGAGGGAAAGACAAGCAGAGACAUACCCAUUCCAUUUCUAGCUUGGGCAUUGGUUAGCAAGUGGAAGGCAAUCUGCAACAAGU